Molecule: ribosomal RNA, 301 nt
Filed under: uncultured bacterium
Lineage: Bacteria
Description: partial 16S ribosomal RNA
Rfam family: Bacterial small subunit ribosomal RNA
Source: RNAcentral
CAGCCGCCACGGGAAUACGUAGGGAGCAAGCGUUAAUCGGAAUUACUGGGCGUAAAGCGUGCGCAGGCGGUUUUGUAAGUCUGAUGUGAAAUCCCCGGGCUCAACCUGGGAACUGCAUUGGAGACUGUAAGGCUAGAGUGUGUCAGAGGGGGGUAGAAUUCCACGUGUAGCAGUGAAAUGCGUAGUGAUGUGGAGGAACACCGAUGGCGAAGGCAGCCCCCUGGGCCAAUACUGACGCUCAUGCACGAAAGCGUGGGGAGCAAACAGGAUUAGAUACCCCUGUAGUCCCUGUCUCUUAUAC